Transfer RNA from Aspergillus ustus, 71 nucleotides. It matches the Rfam family "tRNA". Rfam says of the family: Transfer RNA (tRNA) molecules are approximately 80 nucleotides in length. Their secondary structure includes four short double-helical elements and three loops (D, anti-codon, and T loops). Further hydrogen bonds mediate the characteristic L-shaped molecular structure. tRNAs have two regions of fundamental functional importance: the anti-codon, which is responsible for specific mRNA codon recognition, and the 3' end, to which the tRNAs corresponding amino acid is attached (by aminoacyl-tRNA synthetases). tRNAs cope with the degeneracy of the genetic code in two manners: having more than one tRNA (with a specific anti-codon) for a particular amino acid; and 'wobble' base-pairing, i.e. permitting non-standard base-pairing at the 3rd anti-codon position. The record is from Rfam. NCBI's taxonomy places the organism in Eukaryota, Fungi, Ascomycota, Eurotiomycetes, Eurotiales, Aspergillaceae.
AGCAGAUUGAUGUAAUAGUAACAUAUAUGACUCAUGAUCAUAUCAUUUAGGUGCAAAUCCUAAGUCUGCUU